RNAcentral lists this ribosomal RNA (479 nucleotides) under uncultured bacterium. RNAcentral's name for it is "partial 16S ribosomal RNA". It matches the Rfam family "Bacterial small subunit ribosomal RNA", at positions 28 to 507 of the family's 1533-position model. The record is from RNAcentral.
GAUGAACGCUCGCGGGAGGCCUAACACAUGCAAGCCGAGCGGUAGAGUCUCUUCGGGGCCUUGAGAGCGGCGUACGGGUGCGGAACACGUGUGCAACCUGCCUUUAUCAGGGGGAUAGCCUUUCGAAAGGAAGAUUAAUACCCCAUAAUAUAUUGAGUGGCAUCACUUGAUAUUGAAAACUCCGGUGGAUAGAGAUGGGCACGCGCAAGAUUAGAUAGUUGGUGAGGUAACGGCUCACCAAGUCAGUGAUCUUUAGGGGGCCUGAGAGGGUGAUCCCCCACACUGGGACUGAGACACGGACCAGACGCCUACGGGAGGCAGCAGUGAGGAAUAUUGGACAUGGGGUGAGAGCCUGAUCCAGCCAUCCCGCGUGAAGGACGACUGCCCUAUGGGUUGUAAACUUCUUUUGUACAGGGAUAAACCCAGAUACGGGUAUCUGGCUGAAGGUACUGUACGAAUAAGCACCGGCUAACUCCGUG